AUGCACUCCUGUACAUGCUUUUUGAUGCACACACAUGUUCAUUUCCAAUGCAGUAUCAGUGAGUUUAUAUUAUAUGCAUGUCUGAAUUCUCCACACCUGGGAAAUUUUGCCAUCACCUGGGAGCUAAUCUGCAUAACAAAAAGGCGAAUUGUAACUUGCAGAGUACUUUUCAUGUUUUUGCUGGACAUUCUUAAGUCUUGGAAUAACUUGAGACAAAGGAGGGCUGGUGUAUAUCAGCCUGUUCUUGAAUGUUUUCAGGGAGGACAAAGAAUCUGAGUUGAAGAAAGCACUUCACGACAUGACAUCCCAGAAGAGUCAAAACGGCCUGGUCGUCUCUGGCAAGCGCAAAAGGAUCCCCAAGAAACGUUUGUACGAGAGCGACGAUGAAACUGACACUGAUGUUGGGAGGUCCAGUGGCGAUGAGAAGAAGCGAUCCAGGAAAACCAAGAAGGCUGAAGAAUCGGACGUGUCACCAUCUUCUUCCCAGAGGAAAGCUGGUCAGAAGAGGGUUUCUAGUGAGGACCAGACCCAGCCCAAUAAAGACCAAGAACCAAACCUAGACCAAGAACCAGGCCAAGAAGACCAGGACCCAGAAGCAUUCCCUGAUACUUCAUCUGACAGGGAAAUAGAAUAUUCCACAGAUGGGAUGGGGCCUGAUGUUCAGGGUGAUGAGAUGGAGGAUGGUGAGGAGGAAGAGGAGGAGGAGGAGGAAGAGGAAUUAGGGAGUGAAGGAGGAGAGUACCCACCAGAGUACGAGCUCUCGGAGCUCGAGAAGCUGAGAUUAGAAGUUAGAGGAUUGAGGGAUGAAAUCAUGCUACUCAGACAUGAAGUUUGCAAAGAACUCCCAAAGGUACACGCGAUAGCCCUAAAGGCUCUGGGCACCCACAACAAUGUCAGCUGUUCUCCCGAGGACAAGAGCAGCAAGGUGAUUAAGAGGAAGGCAUUGUCUCAAAAUAAGUUUGCUGUUAGCAAAGGGAGAAGACGCCCGGGUCAAUUGUCCAAGGCGGGCGUGGUGAAGAAAGAAGCUGACAUUCUCAGGCAGAAAGCUAAUUUGGAGAAGAUCUCAGGAAAGCCCAAAGUCAUCCUUUCGCCAACGAAACUAAUAAAAAAUGAGAUGGUACCUUCGCCAUCUCCAUCUAAGAAACAAGCAACUCAAAAUUCCGACCAGGUUGAGAUUCAUCCCGGAAGUGGUGUGUUCAUCAACCGCGAGGUUUGGGACGGCCUUAAUGCACUGGACCAACCCACCGCCUUUACCCGCCGUCUCCUCCCAUUCGUCUUCUCCAUGGAAACGCUCCUCAAUAGUAACCUGCGAGGCGGAAAGAGCACAAGGGACUCCUCUGCAGAGCCUAGACAAGCCCUUGAUCCAAAGAAAGUCGAUGCCAUCUAUAAAGCGGUUACCACCAGAUUCCCCAACAUCUCCCACUGCGACAUCGGACAGGCCAUCAACGGACGUCUCUCCAGCAUCAGAUACCGCGAGCAAAAACGGGAGCACCGCAGGAGGCUCAAACAGGGUCACUGAAGACACAACUUAGUUAUCAAUGUGAAUGUACCCACUUGUUCAGCAUAUGAUGACAGUGUAAGGAGAUGCGACGUGUUCCUACUUUCCAUUAAAAUCAUUUUAAGAUGUUUUUCAGCUACCAUCCCGUGUGAAAGUGCCAUUACCAUGUUGCAUCUUUCUUCUCUCUCCCCACCUGUCGCAUCUGUCUUCCUUUCUCGAUCUCUGUCCAUUUUUCCUCUCAGAUGCAGUAUACUGCAAGUUUCCUCAAGUUAAGCACUGCGAUAUCGGGCAAGCCAUCAAUGGUCGGCUGUCCAACUUGAGGUAUCGAGCGAUGAAAAAGACCUGGUCUCCGUCGUUUCCCAGUCAGUUACCCACAAGUUUGAUUCUCAAGCAGAACACUCCAAGUGUCCCUGAUGAGAGUACGUGAGCUAUUUGAGGAAUGUGACCAUAUCUGAAAGGAACUGUAAAAUGUUUCUCACUUGUUAGAACAGUUAACCAGUUAUUUGUUAUUUCUCAGUUGUGUGAGGAAGAUUUUUUUGUUUGUUGUACAGAUGAAUCACCGAUUGCUUGUUAUUGCUUUAAACUACGUUAGAUUCAUGAUGUUAUAAAGUAUAUUGAUCAAUCUCUGUUGCUGAAAAUCAAUGCUCCAAUCUAUACCUUGCACUGUCAACAAAAUAUUCCUUUGUUUCUUUACUGUUUGCUUUCAUGUUUUUGUUCUGAUGUUUCUUUUUUUUAAUUUAUAUUUUUGGUGUUCUUAAAAAAAAGUCUUUUCUUUAAUGCUGAAUGGUAUAUCAUCUCCUUUUAUUCUUGUGAAGAAAGGAAAUAGAAUUUCUUUUGAGAAGAUUUCUCAUAUGAGAACAUUCAACUCAUUGUGUAAUCUCAGGAACAUAUUUCGUUUUAAAAUUAUGAGUUUAACCUGCAAAAAUGGACAAAAAUGUUUGUUUUAAAACAUAUUUUACAUCGACUCGUAAAGGCAAGGACAAAAUUCACAGUCUCCGCCUAGAUUACAGGCAAGAGGUGAUGUCUGCCUCACUUGGAGCACAGUUUGAUAGAGGUGUGAUAAACUCCCUGAAUAAUGCGUGCUUUUGUCUUCAAUGUAGGGCAUUUAGCUCUCUUUUAAAGAAAAAAUUACUAUGCAUUAUUAUUUUGAAAUGGUCCAAACUUUAUUAAUUUUAUUUGGUCAGUGAUCAUGUUACCUGAUUGCUAAGAAACCAUGAAUUAUAUCUGGAAGUAACCAGUGACUCUAAGUUUGAACAUGUAAUAAAUAUACAUGGUGUAUCAAAAAAGGAAUCCUGAUUUGGAUGUGUUUUAAUAAGAGAACAAUGAAAUCAGUGGCAUUAAAAUCCUAAUCAUUUGCAAUUACAUUUAUUAGCAUUUUAAUGAUACUAACAUUAGGUUUCUAGGGCCGUGUAUCACUUAACACCAUUCUUAUGAAUAUACAUAGAACUUCUUGAACAUAUAGGCACAGUGAUCAUUUUGAUAAAUGAAAUACAAUAAGACCUACAUGUAACAAUACCAGGAAAUGUUCUUAUAUAAUCUGUUCUGAUAAUAUUAAAGUAAUCUCUCCUUUUAAAACAUUGCAACUUUUUUAUUAAAAACACAAAAUUAUGCAUUUUUCAAAGUACACAGUUUACCUUUUGAACGUGCAUUGGAAGUAGAUUACCUGCUUUUUUUAGAACAAUGGUAUCUGGUAAUCCAUUGAAAUGAGAGACUGCAUAUCGGGUAUUGUUUAAAUAACACUACUGAAAAUUUGUAGUUUCAAGUGAUUUUUGUUUUGUUAGUGGUCAGGUAUUUUCUCACUAGAAGAUUAAAGUUGGGAAUCUUUUUUUGUUUAUCAUGUAUACAGGGAUGAAAUCCAGACUUUUUAAUGCAUUAGUAUUCAAUCAGAUUGUUUUAUCAUGACUUAUGAAGUAAUUUUGAUUUGGGUCUUGAAUCAAAAGUAUUAAAUGAUUAUGCAGCAUUGCGUAAUGUUUAAUAUCAUUUUAAUUGCAUGUCAUUUCAGUUUUGUGUAUUAUGCGAAGUAAUUUUCCAAAGGUUUGGUUGUUCUCGUUUUGUCUGUAAAUAUGAAGUUUUCACAUGAAAUAAAUUUAUUUGAACUAAA
Molecule: RNA transcript, 3599 nt
Organism: Lytechinus pictus (painted urchin)
Lineage: Eukaryota; Metazoa; Echinodermata; Echinoidea; Temnopleuroida; Toxopneustidae
Gene name: histone H3.v1-like
Exons: 9
Source: RefSeq, a predicted model, not a curated record